RNAcentral lists this long non-coding RNA (2534 nucleotides) under Olea europaea subsp. europaea. The record is from RNAcentral. Lineage: Eukaryota; Viridiplantae; Streptophyta; Magnoliopsida; Lamiales; Oleaceae.
CCCCUCCCCCCGGGGCGUCUGGUGGCAUUCCUAGGCUAAAAGGCACCAUGACAUCCAAAUUUACUUCUCUGAGUUAUGUUUUGUAAAUCUAAAUAAAUUAUGUUGAUUCUGUGUACCUUAUCAUUAUUGAGAUUGAUAACUUCAUUUACUAAGCCUUCAUUUGGGAAGAAUUUAUAAAUAGAUAGAAAUGAGUGGUGGAUAAGUGGAUUGUACUUGUAGGUCUAUUGGGAUGUGUGAUUGAAAAUGAAGUUUGACUUAUUUAUAGAUUAUUUAUAAUAUUUUUUCAAAUGGAAGCUAAAUGAUCAUUUUUUUUCCUCUCUGCUUUGAUUGAUUUUUCUUUUACUAGGAUAUGAUUUACAUUUUAGGUCAUUGAUAUAUAUAUAUAAUGUUAGUGAGAUCAUUACUCUAAUAGACCAUUUAGGCUCAUGAUCUGACAUGUCUGAUUUGGUUCAUUCAAGCUUAGCACUAUUAAAUCUCUGUUGAGCCUGAGCCACCUAACGGACAUAACUCAUAAUAUGUUUAAUUAUUUUAAAGGCAUAUUGAUUAAUUAUAACUGUACCAAAUGUAUAAUAUUUGAGAGCUCUUAUUUGCUUCAAUUAUAUGGUGAACAGCUUGGACUCAAUUCUGUAUCUCACAUCGUGUCUGUAGAUUCACUUUCCUUCUUUCACAAUCAUCUUCUCUAAUUGUGGUAACUUUUCUAAAAUCUGUGUAACAUACUUUACUUAGAUACAAAUGAAAAAUGAAAAAGAAAACAUUUGCUUUCGCCCUUGAAUGAUAAAAUUGUUACUGGCAAUGAGGAUUUUGAACUAUUAAUAUUCAAAAUUAAAAGUCAACAACAUUAUGGGAUUUGUCCUUCUUCAAAGUGUAAUGUUUAUUAUGAUCUUGCCAAAAAAAUUUUAACUCUGCCAAAGAUGCCAUUGCCCCUGAUAGAAUGAAUAUAUUAUCUUUCCACAAUAUUUUAUUAACACCCCUGUUUCUUAUGUGUUUUUAUGAGCCCUACUUAAUUGGAAAAAUUUGCAGCAAGUGGUUUCUUGAAAAGAUUGGUCAUGAAGGUAUUCUCACUUUCCUUGGUUUCUUUUUAUGAACAAUUAUUGCACAUUCAUCCUUUUAACCCUCCCCAUAUCUUUAUUUAGAAAGUUGCUUAUUUUUAUUCUCUACUAGGUUUGAACAAUUUAUUGAUGGCAUAUGAGGAUAAAUCAGCGUAUGCUCUCUGUGUAUUCUCUCUUUCUCUCGGGCCAAAUGCUGAUCCAAUUACCUUUUUGGGAAAAACAGUGGUAUGAUUCUGUGCUUUCAGAACAAAGCAUAUUAUUGUUUUGUACUUUGUAUUCCAAUAAAUAGAUGUCACAACCAAUCUUCUUCCAUACUAAUUGGUUAAUUGCUACUGAACUAGGCUUAACAAUUUGAGUGAUACGUAAGAAAGAAACACUGGACGUGAAAGAAAAUUAGAAAUUUGAAAGGUAAACAUAAAAAGACCAGGAAAAUUGUGAAGGAAAUGUAGCGAUACUAUUCUAUCCAUUACAGCAUACAGUGCAGGUUCCUAUUACAUGCAUUUGUAUAGAGGAUUUGAUCUAGUUCCUGCCCAGUCACAUGUUCAACUUAAAAUGUAAAUAUAAUUUGAAAUUAAAAAUAAAUGAAAUAAAGCUGGUAAUCUGGAGUGCGAGAGGUGUGUUUGGUGCUAUCAAGUGCUUUGACAGCUAGAGUCAAUUGAAAAUGUGUAAAGACUAUGCUGCCCUAAUUAUUGAGGAAAAUUUAUUGUGCGUCUCUUCAACUUUAUUCCUCAAUUGUUGGUGGGGUAUAUCAACUGAUGUUUUAGAUACAAAAGCAAAAAAAAUUGUUUCUGAAAAGUGGCAAGGGAUCAAGCUUUGCAUUCUUGGGAUGAAAUAAUUAAGGACAAAGUCUCAUGAGUUGUCUCGGCUCCCAAACUGUGUGUGAGUUUCCUUAUAAGGCUCUUAACUUGAACUAAAAAUUGAGAACUAUCUAUUUACGUUGAUACGAAUAACUUCAAAGUUUUUGUUGAGAACCUGAUUGUUAGGACUCUUUAAUGCAUCUGAGGAAUGCAGAACUUGAACCUCUACAACUCCUGAAGCUCUGUGCCUUCUUAAAAAAGAAUGAAACAACAAGGAAAACAGAAGGAAAAAAAUUGUUUUAGCUGUUAAUGGAUCAAAUCCCAAUUUUUACGUAUAUAGACUUGUUAAGUAUAUAAUGUAAACAUCGGAUUGAACUGCACUGAUGAUGAAGAAUGAAAUUUGUGGUUUUCCUGCAUUGAGUACUAGAUUACAGUUUUCCCUGUGUUACUUGCAUGAGUGAGAAGCAUCCUUAUUUUUCUCUUUAUUUUCGAAAGGAAGCAACUAAUGAAAUGAUAAAAUUCUUUAUUCACAGCGUAAUGUUCUCCACUUUUUCUUGCUUGGCCUCCAGCACAAAAUAAAAAUAUUAUAAGUUCUGAUGGUUUCUUUAUCUGAUGAAAUAUGGAAGCUGUAAUUGAUGAGCAAAAGGCAGGCCUUUGAUAUUUGUCAGUAUUCUGAUUCUAACUGAAG